Molecule: transfer RNA, 88 nt
Filed under: Bacteroidales bacterium
Lineage: Bacteria; Pseudomonadati; Bacteroidota; Bacteroidia; Bacteroidales
Also listed under: 1 other name
Description: tRNA-Ser
Rfam family: tRNA
About the family: Transfer RNA (tRNA) molecules are approximately 80 nucleotides in length.
Source: RNAcentral
GGAGAAAUGGCAGAGCGGUCGAAUGCGGCGGUCUUGAAAACCGUUGAACUGAAAGGUUCCGGGGGUUCGAAUCCCUCUUUCUCCGCCA